This 419-nucleotide ribosomal RNA is filed under the name bacterium. RNAcentral's name for it is "partial 16S ribosomal RNA". It matches the Rfam family "Bacterial small subunit ribosomal RNA", at positions 355 to 776 of the family's 1533-position model. The record is from RNAcentral.
UGGGGGAUAUUGCACAAUGGGCGAAAGCCUGAUGCAGCGACGCCGCGUGGGGGAUGAAGGCCUUCGGGUUGUAAACUUCUUUUGCUCUGAACAAGGCAUGCUAAUGGGUGUGUUGAGUGUAGGGGUUGAUUAGCGCCGGCUAACUACGUGCCAGCAGCCGCGGUAAUACGUAGGGCGCGAGCGUUGUCCGGAAUUAUUGGGCGUAAAGGGCUUGUAGGUGGCUGGUUGCGUCUGUCGUGAAAGCUCAUGGCUUAACUGUGGGUUUGCGGUGGGUACGGGCUGGUUUGAGUGCAGUAGGGGAGGCUGGAAUUCCUGGUGUAGGGGUGGAAUGCGCAGAUAUCAGGAGGAAUACCGGUGGCGAAGGCGGGUCUCUGGGCGGUUACUGACACUGAGGAGCGAAAGCAUGGGGAGCGAACAGG